GAACACAGGUGCUGCAUGGCUGUCGUCAGCUCGUGUCGUGAGAUGUUGGGUUAAGUCCCGCAACGAGCGCAACCCUUGUCUUUAGUUGCUACGCAAGAGCACUCUAAAGAGACUGCCGGUGACAAACCGGAGGAAGGUGGGGAUGACGUCAAGUCCUCAUGGCCCUUAUGGGUAGGGCUUCACACGUCAUACAAUGGUGCGUACAGAGGGUUGCCAACCCGCGAGGGGGAGCUAAUCUCUUAAAACGCAUCGUAGUCCGGAUCGUAGUCUGCAACUCGACUACGUGAAGCUGGAAUCGCUAGUAAUCGCGGAUCAGCAUGUCGCGGUGAAUACGUUCCCGGGUCUUGUACACACCGCCCGUCACACCAUGGGAGUGGGUUUUGCCAGAAGCAGUUAGCCUAACCGUAAGGAGGGCGAUUGCCACGGCAGGGUUCAUGACUGGGGUGAAGUCGUAACAAGGUAGCCGUAUCGGAAGGUGCGGCUGGAUCACCUCCUUUCUAG
RNAcentral lists this ribosomal RNA (501 nucleotides) under Burkholderiaceae bacterium. RNAcentral describes it as "bacterial SSU rRNA". It matches the Rfam family "Bacterial small subunit ribosomal RNA", at positions 1030 to 1533 of the family's 1533-position model. The record is from RNAcentral. Lineage: Bacteria; Pseudomonadati; Pseudomonadota; Betaproteobacteria; Burkholderiales; Burkholderiaceae.